Long non-coding RNA from Chelonia mydas (Green sea turtle), 517 nucleotides. RefSeq lists it as uncharacterized. The record is from RefSeq and is a predicted model, not a curated record. NCBI's taxonomy places the organism in Eukaryota, Metazoa, Chordata, Testudines, Cheloniidae. The transcript has 4 exons.
GAUGAAGAUGAAGUUUCUUUUCUAUUUUCCUUGGCAUCUGUUGAAUGCAAAUAUAUACAGCCUAGUUGGACUGCAAGAUAUGCAUCCGACCAUGCAAGCAUAACCCUCCAGUAUGUGAGCUGGACUAGAGGAAAGGUAAAGAAUUUUAAGGUGACUGCGAUAGGAUCAGCUCUGACAGGAGAUACCAAAGAACCUGAAUUCAGAACCUGGCAAGGGUUACGUAUUCUGUAUUCAAAGCAAUAGAUACAGCAAAACACCAAAACCAGGCACCGUAAAAUUCAGAGUGAAAGGACCUCCCCCACAACUAAUUUAACAAGAACUAAAUGAUGUCUCAGGUCUUAACUAUCCUAACUGGAUAAUAAAACUGUCGUCCCAAUCCUGCAAACCUUCUACAUGUGGAACUCUCACUGAUGUCUAUGGAAGUUCUGCAUGUGGAGAGCUUACAGAAUCAGGCCAUAAUGUGGUAUCCUUUCCUCUGAUUUGAUUCAGAUUAAAAGUUGAUGUAAAUGACACUAAG